UGUUAUUGAGGCUAUGCGAAUCACAUUU
Molecule: small RNA, 28 nt
Filed under: Bombyx mori (domestic silkworm)
Lineage: Eukaryota; Metazoa; Arthropoda; Insecta; Lepidoptera; Bombycidae
Description: ovarian small RNA-36070
Source: RNAcentral